This 467-nucleotide ribosomal RNA is filed under the name uncultured bacterium. Its description in RNAcentral is "bacterial SSU rRNA". It matches the Rfam family "Bacterial small subunit ribosomal RNA", at positions 29 to 518 of the family's 1533-position model. The record is from RNAcentral.
AACGAACGCUGGCGGCGAUGGAUUAGGCAUGCAAGUCGAACGGGAGCAGCAAUGCUCCAGUGGCGCAAGGGUGAGGAACACGUGAACAACCUGCCUUCGAUUGGGGAUAGCUUCUGGAAACGGGAGAUAAUACCGAAUAACAUCAUUGGAUCGCAUGAUUUGAUGAUCAAAGCAGCAAUGCGCUUGAAGAGGGGUUCGCGUCCCAUUAGCUAGUUGGUGAGGUAACGGCCCACCAAGGCGAUGAUGGGUAGCUGGUCUGAGAGGACGAUCAGCCACAUUGGGACUGAGAUACUGCCCAGACUCCUACGGGAGGCUGCAGUCGAGAAUUUUGGGCAAUGGACGAAAGUCUGACCCAGCAAAUGCCGCGUGCGGGAUGAAGGUCUUCGGAUUGUAAACCGCUGUCAAGAGGGACGAAACAUGACGGUACCUCUGGAGGAAGCCACGGCUAACUACGUGCCAGCAGCAGC